UGGGGCUGUAGCUCAGCUGGGAGAGCACCUGCUUUGCAAGCAGGGGGUCACCGGUUCGAUCCCGCUCAGCUCCACCA
RNAcentral lists this transfer RNA (77 nucleotides) under Rhizobium sp. Crj-3. RNAcentral describes it as "tRNA-Ala". It matches the Rfam family "tRNA". Rfam says of the family: Transfer RNA (tRNA) molecules are approximately 80 nucleotides in length. Their secondary structure includes four short double-helical elements and three loops (D, anti-codon, and T loops). Further hydrogen bonds mediate the characteristic L-shaped molecular structure. tRNAs have two regions of fundamental functional importance: the anti-codon, which is responsible for specific mRNA codon recognition, and the 3' end, to which the tRNAs corresponding amino acid is attached (by aminoacyl-tRNA synthetases). tRNAs cope with the degeneracy of the genetic code in two manners: having more than one tRNA (with a specific anti-codon) for a particular amino acid; and 'wobble' base-pairing, i.e. permitting non-standard base-pairing at the 3rd anti-codon position. Lineage: Bacteria; Pseudomonadati; Pseudomonadota; Alphaproteobacteria; Hyphomicrobiales; Rhizobiaceae. The record is from RNAcentral.